CAUAUACUCCCUCCGUUCCGAAUUACUCGUCGCAGAAAUGGAUGUAUCUAGAGGUAUUUUAGUUCUAGAUACAUCCAUUUUUGCGACGAGUAAUUUGGAACGUAGGGAGUAGCAU
Non-coding RNA from Triticum aestivum (bread wheat), 115 nucleotides. NCBI's taxonomy places the organism in Eukaryota, Viridiplantae, Streptophyta, Magnoliopsida, Poales, Poaceae. The record is from Rfam.